CAAACACACACACACACACAGAGAUCUCUCGAUCUCUCUUCUCCCUUCGCCGUUGAUCGUGGCUCUGGUGAAGUCGGAGUUGGCUCAGUCGUCUCUGGCGGUGCGCCGCUGAGCAAGGAUCACGUUCAGUCAUCUAGUUCGUCUUCGUCUUCGUCAGGUUUUUGGGACGAAAUCGGCCCGGGAAUAGGCACACCGUCUCCGGCGUUCUUCUCCGACGUCGCCUCGGAGUCCGAUUGCACCAAACUCAAAAAAAUUUCGCCGAUAUUU
Long non-coding RNA from Malus domestica (apple), 267 nucleotides. RefSeq lists it as uncharacterized. The record is from RefSeq and is a predicted model, not a curated record. Lineage: Eukaryota; Viridiplantae; Streptophyta; Magnoliopsida; Rosales; Rosaceae.